UUACACACUGGUAAGUCUUUUUAUUAAUAUUUAUUCUUGUCACUAUUACUCACACUUAAACAAACAAUUCAAUUACAUAGUGAUCUAUAUGAAGAGUUCUGUAUCAGUAUCAUAAGGUGAGAAAGUAUACACACCACAGAGAAACAUUCUGUAGAUACAGUGAAGUAAAACCUUUGACAGAAGGGAUUAUUUCCGAAAGCCUAUGUACAAAUAAAGGUAACUUUCAUACUAUAUACAAACUUACAUUCACAGAGAAUAUACUGAUUCAGAGAUACAAGAGUUUCAUUUAGUGGGUAAUGAUCCAUACACAUAAACACAUGAGAAAAAACCCUGUAAUUUUCAGGGGCCUGGACUGGCUUCCAUGGCAAUGUUUCUUUUUCAAGUUUGAAAUGAGUAGGAUGGGGGACAUAUUCAGAUUUUUUUUACAGUGACUUGAAAAUGGGAGAUAAAAGAGUAUGAAAACUACGAAUUGGAGCAAGCUAAAAAAGCUUUUUUAUAAAAAUAGCAUCUGAUUGUCAGUUACAACACACUACUAUUAUUUUCACGACAAUACAGUGGCCUGAUCUUGCCAUUUUAAGUGAGAGAAAUAAUUUCUGCUCAUGUGAGCCAACUCCUCAGUGUCAGGAUUGCAAAAUCAAAACUGUGUAACAGAGAUCUCAAUAAUGGAAAUAAACACAAAAGCAAGAAAAACCCCUUUGGCAUUACUUAAUUUUUAUGGGGGAUUAAAAGAAAUGGUUAAUUUCUGUUGGAUAGCCUGACCCUGAAAACUCUAAUUCUUUCGUAAAACAGGUAUGACAGAAAUAACUCAUGUCUUAUAAACGUACUAAAAUAUGAGCAGCUUCCUUUACUGUGGUCUCAGUGGAAGAAAGUAUUAGAGUAACAGCAUGAUUUAAUUGCUUCAUUGGGCCUGACUCUGCAAGCAUUAUGUUCCUUCUUCUGGGGUGAACAAGGAUUGAUCCCCUGCUGCAAAGGCAGUGUGCAGUAUUUUGUACAGUCCCACAAGGAAGCUCAAGAGUAUGAGCAAACUCCCCAACUUACUCACAGCUUCACUAAGGCGAAACCAGAUCCUGCUUUACUGUACAUUUAUUUGACAUUAUUUUACAUUAUACCUUAACAGAGAUGUGAAAUUGAUUCUUUACUUUAAAAUUAAUGAUCCCCUUAUUUAGAAACCCGAUACUAGUCUUCUGGGUUUUUUAUGGCUUCUUUUUGCGUUAAGACAACUAUGUGACACAAAAUAAAUAAAAAAAAAUAGUAAAGUGCAAGAUCUUUAAAAACACAUAAAAAUUUGUUUGGAUUAGUUUUGUGUUUGAUGAGCAGUGAAUUUAUAAUAAAUCUACAUGAGAGUUCAUUUACCGAUCUUGAAUUGUAUUAUUUCUUAUUCAGUCUGGUCCCGGGCCACAUAUGGCUCCUGUAAGAAUAAUGUGGCCAGUUGUGUGCCUCACCUACCCAUGCUUCAAGUGGCUUCUAGGCUGGGGCUUACCUGGCUGGCUGGGAGCAUGGGCUCAGGGCCACGCUAAUGUGGUUAUGUGGCUUUUGGAGAACACAUGGCUUACGUCCAGCCAGGCAAGAGCACGGGCAGGAGAACACGCAAACUAUCUGCACCCAUCCAGGCAGACAAGUCCUGAAAUGCCACACACUUCACAACUAGCAACAGCAGAUCCACAGGAUGACUUGUCUGGACUACAGUGCUGUGAUCCAUAUAUGACCUCUGUAUCUGAUGGGGGCACUGAAUUGGAUAACUUCAAUCUGGAAAAGUUACUCUCCCAGUCCCGAUGUAAAUGACAGAUAGAUAUCUCAAUACUGAUAUUCCUGUAACUGAUGGCAACAGAUCCAAGAAGGAUCAUUUUAACAUCAAUCAGAAGUGUUGUAGGGCUGGAGCAGGACUCUUCUCCACACUGCCGAGUGCAGGCUAUCCCAUUUGCUAAUCUCAAAAUCACUUUUUCGAGCUGCAAGUUAUUGCAUCAAACUUCCCAGGAAUAGCAGGAAAACAAGAAUCACCUACUUAAAGGAACUAACUAUGCCUCCUUCUCAGUUAGUUCUGUCAUUGUUAUUUACAAGAGAUAAAAUGGUUUCCAAGAAUACAAGUGAAUCCAAUUUUUCUGUUUGUUCAUAGCUCCCAGGACAAUUAUGUUUGUUAUGCAAAUGCAUUUAUGAAAUACGGAAUCCUAAAAUAAAAAUCUGUAUCUUCCCAAGUCAAUGGCAGAAAUCUUUGGGAUAUCGGUGGGCCAGUUGUUGGAGAAGGGAUUAUUUCUUUGCUAUAAAUGAAAUAAAUCUACCUGAUACAGACUCAUGUUUGAUUCAAAACACAAUUUAUAUGGACCACAAGAUGCUAUUUUGAGGAAUUACUGCUGAAAGAAGAAUAAUUUAAAAAUGUUGUAUAUCCCCGUUUUCGCAAAACACGUAAUGAGAGACAACCAGAGAAAUAAUCCCUUAAAAAACACCCAAACACUAAGAAUAUUUCUAAGCAUCUACUAAUUUUAUACAGUACUUGGAUUAAUCACAUUUAACCUACUGCAUUGUGGACCUUCAUAUCCACACACAACAGUACCAUAAGUGACAACGACCAUAAACUACUUCAGAGUAGCAUAUUAGGAAAUUACAAGGUAGGUUCAUUGCCAUUACGAACAUCAAAGGGCAUCUAGAUAAGCUGCUUUGUCACUCACCAUGCUUUAUGCUUCAUGGUUAUGCAGAAAGCCACAUCAAUGGAAUGAAUAAGCAGAGGCAUACAGACUCAGAGAGCCUGUCUGCACUACAAGAAAGCACUAGCUUUCAGUAAAGUAGUUAAUCUAAACUAUACUGAGCCUUGCUGAAAGAUUUUGCCAUGUCUAUAUAAGAACCCUGUUCUUGAGGAGAUCAUCCUCAUAUCACUCUCUUUAUCGCAGUUUUACAGCAUUUACCCUACAGAUUUGACCAUGGUGGCUUCUGGAGAGAGAAGUCAGCUAUUUUUUUUUUUUUCCUUUUUUUUUUUUUAGUGGAAAACUGCAAGUACUUGUCAGACUCCAGUGGUAUUUUGUACAGCCAGGGCUAUUUUCUUCAUCAAUUCCAAUGAAGUUAGUGCAGCAAAUCUUUAAAACAGGUUGCAAUCUGACCCACAAUCCUACCCAAAUGCUACUGGAAAUCCCUUCCAAAAACCAUGUCCAAAUUUGGUUCUGUGCAGGUGUUAUAGUGCCACAGAGUUGGCUAUUUAACCUGAAUUUGCAUUCUUAUCUUACUUGCUGUGUUGCCAAACUGGUGUUGCCCUGAAAGCACUAGGCUAGAACAGGAUCUUGACCAUAACACCAAUUUCUGUAUUAAUUAUUCAUUUAUGCUUCAUAAGGAUUAUGUAGACAACAGUAUCAGUUGAAUAAAUGAGCACAGACAUACAAGCAGAUGGAAGAGCCUUCAAUGCUGAUCAACUCAUUGUAGAAUUUAGGCAGUUUGUGGGACCUAGUGAAGUCAUUCAGAACUUUAACUGAAGAAACAGAAAUUUAAUUUUGAAUUCAAAGUGUACAACGUUGAGAAAUGUUCAUGGAUCCCACACUGAAACAGUUAUGAACAGUAAGAAACAUGUUAUGCUGGGAAAUCUGUCAUUGUAAAAUAGAAGUUUCCUAACACGUGGUGUGCACUUUUGGCAGUGUUGAGCCUGCAGAGCUUAUAGACUUCCAGUCAUUUGGCUGCAGCAGCUCUUGUCUGUUCUCUCAGCACUCCAGGUUAAGAUUUUCAGACUCCUCCUAUAUGGGAUAAGGGGCCGUGCUUCUCCCUCCAGCCCAUUCCUCUCUUUACCAGUAUAGCUGUUACCUUGUUAUCAUAGAGCACAACAGCAUGCAAGCAUCCUGAAACAGUUUACCCCAGCAGUUAUGUAGAAAGCUGCCUUGGUAAGUAUAACCAGCUUUCACAGCCAGCCUCCACAGAAAGCACCACACAACUGAAAUCAAUCCUAUAACCUCUGGAGCUGAGCUGCUACUGACAGUAUAGUUAUUCAGCCAUCUGAAUAAUGAUCUGCCCAACAGAUGCAAGGCAGUGAGAGCUGUGAGGUGUCUCAUUCCUGAGGGGAAAAAGUUACUUUUAACACCUUCCAAAAUAAAUAUGUUGAUAUGGGCAAAUGGACAUAGGAAAAAAAUUAAUCAGAUAUAUUUUAAGACACUAUAUAAAUGCCAUUACAGGACACCAGCCCGUAGCCGUACACAUAAAAUUCUUCUUUCAAGCUGUUGAUGCCGGCUUCAGACUGAAAUAUUCCCAGUGUUUAGGGCUUUCCACUGGUUACUCUUUUCUCCCUACCUGCCCUCAGUGGGGCAGUAAUCUCUGCUGCUGCUGCCUUCAUUUUGCAGAAUGCACCAGUGUGUUCUUACGGCUCUCAAGGUCAGGGAGGGCUGUUUCCUUUCCAGUAUGGGAGUUACCCCAUGCUGGCCAUGAAGUCAUAAAAAAACCUCCAACCAAAAAAAAAAAAACAAAAA
Molecule: long non-coding RNA, 4433 nt
Organism: Strigops habroptila (Kakapo)
Lineage: Eukaryota; Metazoa; Chordata; Aves; Psittaciformes; Psittacidae
Source: Ensembl